This 497-nucleotide ribosomal RNA is filed under the name uncultured bacterium. RNAcentral's name for it is "partial 16S ribosomal RNA". It matches the Rfam family "Bacterial small subunit ribosomal RNA", at positions 28 to 507 of the family's 1533-position model. The record is from RNAcentral.
GAUGAACGCUGGCGGCGUGCCUAAUACAUGCAAGUCGAGCGAACAGACGAGGAGCUUGCUCCUCUGACGUUAGCGGCGGACGGGUGAGUAACACGUGGAUAACCUACCUAUAAGACUGGGAUAACUUCGGGAAACCGGAGCUAAUACCGGAUAAUAUAUUGAACCGCAUGGUUCAAUAGUGAAAGACGGUUUUGCUGUCACUUAUAGAUGGAUCCGCGCCGCAUUAGCUAGUUGGUAUGGUAACGGCUUACCAAGGCAACGAUGCGUAGCCGACCUGAGAGAGUGAUCGGCCACACUGGAACUGAGACACGGUCCAGACUCCUACGAGAGGCAGCAGUAGGGAAUCUUCCGCAAUGGGCGAAAGCUUGACGGAGCAACGCCGCGUGAGUGAUGAAGGUCUUCGGAUCGUAAAACUCUGUUAUUAGGGAAGAACAAAUGUGUAAGUAACUAUGCACGUCUUGACGGUACCUAAUCAGAAAGCCACGGCUAACUACGUG